GUGAUUCAAGUGAUGAGACUGAAACUACUGCACAACAGCACUCGGGUUUUGCCUUGGAUACAUGUCUUGGUCAGCAGUUGUUGUCUUAUGAUGAUGGAAUAUUUUGCAAUGCUCCAGGAGAGAGAAUUCUGUCAUGUAUCAAGGAGGGAACUCUGGACUUAAUUUCCCAGCAGCCACUGCACCAUACUACAUCGUUGUCACAUGACAAUCUGCACCUGUCUCUAACAUCCACCAGUUCCGUGACGUCGUCAUGGAGGUGUGGAAGAGGACUCCAGUGGCAACCUGUGAAGCUCUGAUGAACUCCAUGUCCAAGAGGGUUAAGGCAGUGUUGGAAAAUAAUGGUGGCCACACAAAAUAUUGACACUUUGGGCCCAAUUUGGACAUUUUCACUUAGGGGUGUACUCACUUUUGUUGCCAGCGGUUCGGUUUAGACAUUAAUGGCUGUGUGUUGAG
Long non-coding RNA from Ictalurus punctatus (channel catfish), 453 nucleotides. NCBI's taxonomy places the organism in Eukaryota, Metazoa, Chordata, Actinopteri, Siluriformes, Ictaluridae. The record is from Ensembl.